Magnolia sinica is the source of this 289-nucleotide long non-coding RNA. RefSeq lists it as uncharacterized. The transcript has 3 exons. The record is from RefSeq and is a predicted model, not a curated record. Lineage: Eukaryota; Viridiplantae; Streptophyta; Magnoliopsida; Magnoliales; Magnoliaceae.
UCUAUCUACCAAGGUGUCAUCUAGCUGAUUAUUUUACCAGCUCUCAUCCUUGGAGAUGGACUCUAUAACUUCAUCGAAGUACUGUCUUUCACCAUCAGAAGCUUCCAUGGUAGAUUGAAAUGGAAGGACCCUCAGAACAGGCCCCUGUUUACAUGUUACCACAUUCACGCACAUGUUCGAUGAUAGCAAAAGGGGUGGGUAGUUCAAUUGCAAGAAGAGAAUCAUUGCAUGUGAGUUGUCUGCGUUAUAAAACACAACUUUCUUGAUUGUAAUCUUGUCACCUACCCUA